This 1940-nucleotide long non-coding RNA is filed under the name Homo sapiens (human). Its description in RNAcentral is "DXZ4 associated non-coding transcript 1, proximal". Lineage: Eukaryota; Metazoa; Chordata; Mammalia; Primates; Hominidae. The record is from RNAcentral.
ACUCCUACCCUGGGCGGAGCCGGCUCUAGGAAGACCGGAUUCCUCUCCCUUCCCCUCCCCGGAUUCUUUCAGCCCUCACCUCCCAGGAAUGGGGAGGGGGCAUCCUACCCCAUAUCUGAGGUGCGACUGCGGGACGUAGAGCGGACUGGGCCUUUCCCGUUGGCGCGUGGCCUCAAUCAGAACUUCACAUCAAUGUAGUGCUCCCAAACUUUGGCAGUUGCAACUGAUCGUGUGAUAAAUCAUUCAGGCCAAGUGAGAGACAGUAAGAGAAAUGCAAAAGAGCCCAUGGCCUGUGACACUACUUCCAGUUCUACCACCCACCCGGGGGAACUUCCUUCUUGAUCCCCAAAGGCAAGUUGAGGCAAGUAACAGUUGGAUGUCACCCUGUUUAUCCUGGGAACAUUGGCCUGCAGUCAACAGCAGAAGUGCAUUUUUAGGUGGAAGAUGAAUGUCUGGAUAGCAGUCUCUGAUGGAGAGGCACAUGUGUCCACAUGGAUCUCUCUCUGAAUUCAGGUGGAAUGAAGGAAUCUGUUCUAUUUGGGAACUUUUCUGCUACUGGCACUUCCAAGAGGAGAAGCUUCUCCCAAAGUUCCAGGCUUGGAGGUUCAUCCUCCCAUUAUCUUUACAUUCUGUGUCAUGCCAAGGAAAGAAGACAUGCCACCUAUUACCUUGAGAAGUUCCCGUAGGUCCCUUACUAUUCUUAAACUCUACAAAGUGGGUGUGACCCCCAUCCCUGUGCAUGCUCCUUUGUUAACUUUGGCCACUCAUUCUUCACAUUCUUGAAAGCGCCAGAACCCACCAAUAAAUGGCCGGGUCCUCUGCUUAACCAGAUUGUUUCCUGCAAAGCGACAUGUCCUCCAAGCUUCAAUCUCACAUGCCAUGUUGGAUCUGGCCUAAUUCCACCUCCAAUACAGAGGAGGCAUGGAGAUGUCUGGGUUAAUGUGCCAGGUCAUAGCACCAUUUACAGCGUUUUCUGAGUGUACCCCAGCAGUCCUUUCUGGCAUGUAGCAGGCUCUCUCCACAAGAAGCCCAAUUGGUUCUUCCUUCUGCAUGCUCUUGGCUUCCUGGACUUCAGAAGGCCAAGGAAGACUCUCUUCCCUCCCAGUUUAAACCUAAACAUGGCAAGGACCUGGGAACUCCCCAAAGAACAGGAGGGAGCCUUGGAAGGUUCCAAAACAGAAACGAGCACAGGUUCCAAGACAACCAUCUGAUCCUUUGAGACAUAGACACAACAAAUGAGGUCCUCAGGGGUGCAUAGUAUCUCAUGGUGGCCAGGCCUGGUGUUGCCUCAAUCUCAUCUAGUAAAGUCUGGGUUUAGGCCCCACAGGGCCCCAGACAGCACAUCUUCUUCUUUAAGAUGGUGGACCAUCCCAGCACUGGCCAUCUCAGGCACCAAUAGCCAAAGAAUUACAGUGCUGGGAGUGAUCUUUCACUAGGGUGCACUAUGGCCAAGGGAGUCUCUCAGGGCCUGGGACCCACCUAGGCCUUCCCACCCAUUGUUCCCAGGGGAAAGGGAACCAGGCAAAAUGCCCAUGGCCUUGAGAUGGGGCUCCCUGGUGGAGGCCUUUGCUAGUCUUGCCCAGACAUGGCUGCCACCAGCCUCUUGAGCCACAGCUUUCUGUAUGGGACCCGCCAGGUGUCCUGGAUGUCCAGCUCUUUUUGACACCUGUCCCUGGAGUUUCCAGAACCUGAACAGGUCAUGAGCCAUGCUUCCCGCAUGCCUCUGGAUAGCUUAUAUGGGCAGAGCUCCUAGUCUUGCCUGAAUCCUGACAGUACUACCAAGCCACUCCUCCCCAAGCAACCACAGGGAAGGGUGAUUGUGAUUGCCAUACAUGUUCCUCUUGAUGGCAGUACUGUACCAGAAUUACCAGCAAACUUCCUCCCCUCCCUCAAGAUCCUGUCCCUGUGCCAUCUGUUAUUAAAGAAACAGCCAAGAAGUA